Molecule: long non-coding RNA, 5613 nt
Organism: Cuculus canorus (common cuckoo)
Lineage: Eukaryota; Metazoa; Chordata; Aves; Cuculiformes; Cuculidae
Exons: 3
Source: RefSeq, a predicted model, not a curated record
UUAGUAAGGACAAAUUUUCAUCAAGUUUUAGUUCUGUAGUGGAACAUCUUUAGCUGUUUUUGAAUGAGCUUCAACUAAGUUGUUGUGUCUACAUGGCACCAAUCAGAACUGUGUGAAGUUACUAAUUUGGUCUGAGAACCAUCUUUGUUAGCCUGCUGUAGCACUUGAGCUAAAAAGCCUUUCUGUCAUUCAGAGUUAGCUUUUUUACUUCUGCAUGGUUACAGACUUAUACAGGAUUGUGCUGUUCAACUCUGGAUCUUACUCUGUCUUCAAUUUUUUGGGUUUUAGUCUUAUUGAUUCUAAAAAUCAAUAUAUAUCACUUUACAGUGGUGCAAAAGGAAAUCUACAGAUAUAUUUAUUUGCCUUGUGGUUUAUGUCAAAGUAUGUAUUACUUUGUGGUGUUUCCAGGCUUCCAAAGGCUAUUAUGAUUCAUUAGGUUUAGGCAACACAUCUAUUUCAGAAGACCACAGCAUCAGACAUACUUCUGUUUAAAGGUCCAUAUUUUCAAGAGCUUGUAUUUGUCCCUGAGAUGUAAAUGGUUUUGAAUCAUAAAAGUAAUUUUGAUAAGAACAUAAGUUAACUUUGUGAAUAAAGUAAAUGUAUUUUUUUGAAGACACAACCUAGUUUUUAAUUUGUUUUUUAAGAAAAGGUCAGCUAUUUGUCUGGAACUAUUUGUGUGUCACACUUGUAUCAGGUAAAUAUUUUCGUGGUUUAGGCUGAUCAACAUAUGAAAGUCUGAUAGAAUUUUAUUUCUAAAUGAACAAUUCUUGUCUUGUUUUUAUUUGUAAUAAACCUGCUGCAACACAGUGGGGUAUUUUUUUUUUUUUAAAAAUAUCAUUAGUCACUAUAGAGCCAAAUUACUAGUUUGGAAUAAUUGCUAAUUACUCUUUCUAUAAGGAAACCUUACCCAAAUGAUUAGGAAAUACUAUCUCCAUAAUUCCGAGAAGUGUUUCUAAUUCCUAAACUCUGUAUAUAGUGCAAUCAGUCCAAUUUCAGUGGAAAUUAUCUUGUGCUACUGGAAAAACAGAUUUACAUCUGAAAGAUUACAUUAGAGAAUUAGGAUUAUAACAGUCCUCACACAAAAAGAACAGGUCUUUACAGGUUUUAUCAAUGACUGUCUUGAUGUUUUUUUGAACUUUGUAAUUGACUAUUAACAACAGAUUGUUGCAAUGAUUUUUCUGCCAAAACAAACACCUGUUGACAUGUGAGUUGCGUGAAAAUAAUCUCUGUGAAGCUCUCUGUAUAUGAGACCUCUAAUUUCAUUGCUUUUUUAAUGUACAGUGGAUUCAGUCUUUGCCUUGCACUGAGUGUUCAGAGAAGGUAAGUUUAUACUUCAAUCCAUACAAAUCUUAUCCAGGUAUUUGACUGCAGCUUGCUGAGUUGAGUGUGUGUCUGAUAAGAGCCGCAACCUUGCCCAUCUCCUCCUACGGUUGCCAAAAUUUACCCAAGAAUUUGUAAACAUUUGGGCAGUUACCCAAACAGCAAUUGCUCAUAUAAACACUUCUCUGCUAGCUGUACCAAAUUCAGGUUGUUUAAAAAUAUCUUGAGAAUGUCUGUCUCAGCAUACCUUGAGCUACAUUGGAGGCUUGCAUGGAUUUCCUGAUGUUGUUUUCUGGUUACGAUUGUAAGAUGAUGGAGAGUAUAAUUGUUGGUACUUUCGUUAAGGGGUGAGUACAAUGCCUUAUAUAAGCAGGGGUCUCCUCAGUGCUGGAGGUAUACACUGGUGAAACUGAAACAGUUCCUUUAAAGGCUGAUUAUGUUAAUUUAAGGUCUAUUGCAGAUGCUUACCAAUUUGGAGGUCAGUUCUUAUACCACCAGUCAGUGGCUGUGGCUCAGCUCCACGUUUGGUGAGGGGUUGUCUGCUUGUACGUGACUGAAUAUUUGCAGCCAUUUGAUGAAGGCAAUAGAUCGCAUCCAUAAUUUGAGCAAGACUGGCUUUAGGAACAAGUGAAGAAGACAUUGAUGGGAAGUUCCAUUCUGAAAAGGGAGGAAAACUCAUGACAAAAAGUGAGGCUGAGAAGAAUCCUGUGGAAAGUACCUGUGGUUUCUUUCUGGUACACAGGACAGCUUCUGUGACGGUCUGCCAAUGCACAGAGCAUGGAGCUUGAGCGUCCUCCCUGCUGUCCCUGGCCUUGCUGCUUGUGUUGUCUGUCCUGCUCUCUACCAAGCUCCUCCUGUGCUGUCCAUGAAAAAAGUCUCCAUAGCUGUUAGGCAAUCCCAGCAGCUGGAGAGGAGAGUUGGGAAGUCAUGAUGAAGAUGACUGUGUCAUCUCAUAUGGAAGAAGUGGCAGAGAAGCAAUUAUGGAAGGAAAUGCAGAAUGCAGUCAGAUAUACUGGCGAUAAUGCUGUAAAGAGGGAUCAUUCUUCAGCGGAGCAAGGAGACAAGAAGACUGCUGUAAGAUUAAAUUUACACCCUCAAGAAUGAGGGCAAAUCAUUUUUUUAGUCUGAGGUCUGUGGAUUUCUAUGGAGUGAAGUGGAUUUCUGCACUGGAGAGAAGUGAAUGCAGACUGUGAUCAAGUCUUGUGUUUGCUCCCUGAAGAUUAUCUCCUUUCACCACUGUUGAAGACAGAAGAACUAGGAGCUGGAUUAUCCGUUGGUCUCACCCUCUCAGUCAUUUCCUGUGGUCUUGUGUGUCCCUGUGCCUUGGCAAAUAAAUUCCAUCCAUUUAGUUCUUGUGGAAAAAAAGGAAAUUGAACUAGAGAUAAGCUGUUUUUUGAAAUUCAAACUAGAUCAUUUUUAUUGAUCCAGGUAAAAUGUGGUGAUUCAGAACAUGAUUCACUUAUACCUCUUUCAUAUUCUCAGUGAAUGACUCAAAGCAGUUCUGACUUUAUUGCUGGUUUCUAAAAUGUUAUUAGAGAAAAUAAUGUCAAAAAAGCUUUUCUCAUGUUCUUUUUUUAAAAAAAUUGAAUUAUAGAAUUACAAAAGUUCAGACGUGUAGUUUCAGGUUGUCAAGUUGCUUUGAAAGUUUUUCUGGAAAUGUGUUUAAGUGUUUUCACUGAUGUUUAUAGUGUUAGUGACCACAGAGACAAAAAAAAAAGUACAGGUACUAUUGUUUCCUUUUUUAAAAUUUUCAUUCUAGGUUCUUCUUCUUUUCCCUUUUUACAAAGUUGUUUGUAUCAUGCAAAAGACCAUUCAAACUUUACAGCCUUCAAGUACCCGAAGUAGAUAGAAUAUUUGUUUUCGGGUUUUACGGGGCAGUGCAAAUAUACAUAAUGACUUAUUACAAUUUAAGAUAAUAUCUCUAAAUCUAUAGGCUAGGUGUGCUUUAUUUUCUGAAGCUGUUACUUUCUUCUGUCAUAGAAACCACAGGUGGAUAUUCAGUUGAAUUGUUAAAGAACAAGGUUUUGUUUUUAACCAUCUUGUGUCAAUACUAUGUUGGCUCUCUUAUAAUCAUACCCUAGUUGAUCUUUUUCCUUGUCUUAUCCAUAUUUUAUUUAUAAAAAAUGGUGGGAGUGAGAGUAGAGAGACAAACAUGUUCAGUGAGUAAUCAAAACUGGAAUAAGUAAUUGGAAGGAGGGGGAGAAAGGGAAAUAAAUGGACUACACAGAGAUGCAGUUUUAAAAUCUAUUAAAUACAGCUGCAGCUGUGAUAAAACCAAAAGAAAAAGCAUUUCUCUCACAUGUGGGUUAUCUUAACACUAAUUAACUACUUGCUUGUUGCCUAAUAUUCCAGACAGGUGGAAAAAACGAGCCUGCAGUGCAUCUUAAUGAAGUAGGCAUAUAAAAGAAAGCUGACAAGCAGGUGCUACACUGAAAAAAGAAAGGCACAUAGGACUGAAAGAGUUAGAGGUUCACAGUCAACUUGUAUUUUGAUUGUUUGCACCAAGCUGUAACUGAACUUUUUGUGCAUCUGACUGCAAGUAGAAAAGGUUGAGGAAUGGUCAUCAGUUCCCUUCAUUGGCAUUCAUGCUUAUCCCAACAACUUAUUUUUUACCCUAGCUGUCAUAAAUAAUACUGCAUCUGCAGUUUUGGAACCAGCCAGUGCAAUCCUUGUUUCCCCGAGGGUCUGAAUGAUUUUUGGUUUGAGAGCAUUGUGUCACAUACAUAUUUAAGGUCAGUCAGCUUGGGUUGUUUUGUUCCCACAGUGUUGCACAAAGGCUAAAAGCCUUUCCGGAGAUGGGAGGUAUCCGAAGGGCUUCCUGCAGGGGUAGCUGCAUUCUAUUAGACUGAGCUAUGGUUUGUGCUGCUGCACCUCAGCUGGAUCUUGUCUGAGCAGUCAUUAUCCUGAGCUUCUGAGGCAUGUGAGCUUGUCAUCUGCUGAAAGGAUAUUAGUAACAUUUAAAUUUAGCAGAACACAGAAUACAUCUCUAUUGCUUCCAGAUCUAAGCCAACUUUUUUAGAUAAGUAGUUGAAUUAAGAAAAAUCUGCUAUCAUAUGAGAGCACCUGAACAUCUUUAGUCUUGCUCAACCUUUGUUUGCAAAUCAGAGAAGCCAUCCAAGGCCAGUGAAAAUCUGAUUGCGUUGUUUGGAAGGAGUGCAAGAACUCUCCAAAGUUUGCCAACAGAGGUCAUAAGUUCCUAUAAUGGCCUGUAAUGAACUGAUUUAAAGCUUUUAUUCUCCAAUAUGCAACUUCAAGCAUAUGAGGAUGAAUAUUGUGCUUUCUAAAGCCUGGUGCAGUUAAGUGUACUGCCUCUGUAAUUUCUGCACCUCUGAAAUAGGAUCUUAUGUAGCUGGAGCCUAUUGAUUUUUGUGCCAGGCACAAUGAUGUGUCUAUCUGGAUAGCUUACUGCAGAAGGAGAUGUUGGGAAUUAGAUCUGCAUGAGAAGGAGUGUUUUGUUGGAUUUUGUGUUCUGCUGGUUCUUGGAGAUAAGCUGCUGUGCAUUUUUAUUUUUGCUCUGGUGAUCUGUUUCAAGUUUUCUUAGAAUCUUAGGUAGAAGUCCCUUCUUAGUAUGACAUGCUUCCAGAUAAUAGCUGAAUUUGCUCAGUUUCUGAAAUUGCAGAGUUGAAAAACAAAUGAAGAUAUGAUGUGAAUUAAUGCAGCAUGUUCCUGAUUUAUUAAAAAGAAAAGGAAAUAGAAACUCAGAGAAAUAAAAUGGCUUUUCUUUCUCUUGGGGAAAAAAAUGAAGGUUUUACUUAGUGUUUCUUCUCAUGCAGCCUUGUGUUGAAAGAUUGACUGGUUUGUAGAUCAAGAGUUGAUUCCUAAGUGAGGUAAAUAAGGAAAAAAAUCCCUGAAUUAAGACAUCCUGACAUCCAGAUCUCUAUUUGGACUGUUUGGCUUUUUUUAGUGCUGCCUUUUCAUCCCAGUGUAGCUGGAAACUCUCAAAUCUCAGGUGUGAGAUUUUACUUGCAAAGUAUGUAUUUUCACCUUAAAAAAAAAAUUCCCAGUGUUAGUCAUGCAUUAUUUCAUACUAAUUAGGGAAUAUCAUGAAAGAUCUGAUGAAUUGUAAAUAAAUAUCCUAUAGAUAUAAGAUUUUAUCUUUUUUAACCAGUUGUGGUAGUUUAUUGAAGACUCGCUUUUAAGAUGUGUGAUUCUUUAGUAGCUCUAUCAAGUAUGAAGUGAAUGAAAAUCAUAAGCGAAUUGUUUUCUUUGCUAUGUAGUCUUUCCAUCUAAGAGGACCACGUUUCUCAAAUCUGUAUAUGAAUGAGAGCAAUGUUAACUAUGUAAAAAACUCUG